Molecule: ribosomal RNA, 479 nt
Filed under: uncultured bacterium
Lineage: Bacteria
Description: bacterial SSU rRNA
Rfam family: Bacterial small subunit ribosomal RNA
Source: RNAcentral
GAGUUUGAUCAUGGCUCAGGAUGAACGCUGGCGGCGUGCCUAACACAUGCAAGUCGAGCGGGGUUGUAUUGGAGCUUGCUUUGAUAAAACUUAGCGGCGGACGGGUGAGUAACGCGUGGGUAACCUGCCCUAUACACAGGGAUAACAUUGAGAAAUUAAUGCUAAUACCAGAUAAGCUAACGAUAAGGCAUCUUAUUGAUAGAAAAGCUGAGGCGGUAUAGGAGGGGCCUGCGUCUGAUUAGCUAGUUGGUGGGGUAAAGGCUCACCAAGGCGACGAUCAGUAGCCGACCUGAGAGGGUGAUCGGCCACAUUGGAACUGAGACACGGUCCAAACUCCUACGGGAGGCAGCAGUGGGGAAUAUUGCACAAUGGGGGGAACCCUGAUGCAGCAACGCCGCGUGAAGGAAGAAGUAUUUCGGUAUGUAAACUUCUAUCGACAGGGAAGAAAGAGAUGACGGUACCUGAAUAAGAAGCACCGG